RNAcentral lists this ribosomal RNA (245 nucleotides) under uncultured bacterium. RNAcentral describes it as "partial 16S ribosomal RNA". It matches the Rfam family "Bacterial small subunit ribosomal RNA", at positions 334 to 596 of the family's 1533-position model. The record is from RNAcentral.
GCUUCCUACGGGGCGCAGCAGUGGGGGAUAUUGCACAAUGGGGGGAACCCUGAUGCAGCGACGCCGCGUGAGCGAUGAAGUAUUUCGGUAUGAAAAGCUCUAUCAGCAGGGAAGAAAAUGACGGUACCGGACUAAGAAGCCCCGGCGAACUACGUGCCAGCAGCCGCGGUAAUAAGGAGGGGGCAAGCGUUAUCCGGAUUUACUGGGUGUAAAGGGAGCGUAGACGGCAGUGCAAGUCUGAAGUG